CUGGGUGUGGCGCAGCUUGGCUAGCGCACUAGCAUGGGGUGUUAGGGGUCGGAGGUUCGAAUCCUCUCACCCAGA
This 75-nucleotide transfer RNA is filed under the name Rhabdochlamydiaceae bacterium. RNAcentral describes it as "tRNA-Pro". It matches the Rfam family "tRNA". From Rfam's summary of the family: Transfer RNA (tRNA) molecules are approximately 80 nucleotides in length. RNAcentral also lists the same sequence under 1 other name. The record is from RNAcentral. Lineage: Bacteria; Pseudomonadati; Chlamydiota; Chlamydiia; Parachlamydiales; Candidatus Rhabdochlamydiaceae.